GACGAACGCUGGCGGCGUGCUUAACACAUGCAAGUCGAACGGAAAGGCCCUGCUUGCAGGGUACUCGAGUGGCGAACGGGUGAGUAACACGUGGGUGAUCUGCCCUGCACUUCGGGAUAAGCCUGGGAAACUGGGUCUAAUACCGGAUAGGAGCCAUUUUUAGUGUGAUGGUUGGAAAGUUUUUUCGGUGUAGGAUGAGCUCGCGGCCUAUCAGCUUGUUGGUGGGGUAAUGGCCUACCAAGGCGGCGACGGGUAGCCGGCCUGAGAGGGUGGACGGCCACAUUGGGACUGAGAUACGGCCCAGACUCCUACGGGAGGCAGCAGUGGGGAAUAUUGCACAAGGGGCGCAAGCCUGAUGCAGCGACGCCGCGUGGGGGAGGACGGCCUUCGGGUUGUAAACUCCUUUCGCUAGGGACGAAGCUUUUUGUGACGGUACCUAGAGAAGAAGCACCGGCUAACUACGUG
This 465-nucleotide ribosomal RNA is filed under the name uncultured bacterium. Its description in RNAcentral is "partial 16S ribosomal RNA". It matches the Rfam family "Bacterial small subunit ribosomal RNA", at positions 28 to 507 of the family's 1533-position model. The record is from RNAcentral.